UCUUUCUGCAGCUUUAGUGUCAGUUUUGCGUUCUAUCCAUCUCUGUCAUGUAGCAACCGAUCUGAUGAUUAUUCUUUCACCUUCCAUAGGUUUGAUCCCCGUGUGAGGGAACUGUUGGACUUCAGCAUCUACUUGGACAUCAGCGAUGAGGUCAAAUUCGCAUGGAAGAUUCAAGUCAGCCACUGUAUCCUCAUCCAAGUCCAUAAUCAUGUCGAUAAUACUAGUGAAUUGCUCUCUCAAUCCACUCUGUCUUUUGAAUCGCAGAGAGACAUGGCGGAACGCGGGCACAGUCUCGAGAGCAUCAAAGCCAGCAUCGAAGCUCGAAAGCCCGACUUCGAUGCAUACAUCGGUACCUCCGUUUUCCAUAGACGAAUCGUUCAUUUGUCAGCUGACUUCCGCUCACCGAUCACUCGUUCGACUUGGUGUUCUUGGCAGACCCGCAGAAGCAGCACGCCGAUGCCGUCGUCGAGGUUCUCCCGACGCAGUUGAUUCCCGACGACAACGAAGGCAAGGUGUUGCGGGUGAGGUUGAUCAUGAAGGAAGGGUUGAAGCACUUCAGCCCGGUCUACCUGUUCGACGAAGGCUCCACCAUCUCUUGGAUCCCAUGCGGGAGGAAGCUCACCUGCUCGUACCCUGGCAUCAAGUUCGCUUACGCCCCGGACACCUACUACUCCAAUGAGGUAAACCCCCAUCUCCCUCUCUCGCUCUCCACUCGUCAUCUCAUCUUCAUGGUUCUUGCGCAGGUCUCGGUGUUGGAGAUGGACGGACAAUUCGACAGGUUAGAUGAGCUGAUCUAUGUGGAGAGCCAUUUGAGCAACCUCUCCACCAAGUUCUAUGGGGAGGUGACGCAGCAGAUGCUGAAGCACUCCGAC
This 872-nucleotide long non-coding RNA is filed under the name Musa acuminata (dwarf banana). RNAcentral describes it as "long non-coding RNA (MACU_LNC002204)". The record is from RNAcentral. Lineage: Eukaryota; Viridiplantae; Streptophyta; Magnoliopsida; Zingiberales; Musaceae.